GACCAACGCUGGCGGCGUGCUUAACACAUGCGAGUCGAACGGAAAGGCCUCUUUCGGGGGGUACUCGAGUGGCGAACGGGUGAGUAACACGUGAGUAACCUGCCCUUGACUUUGGGAUAACUUCAGGAAACUGGGGCUAAUACCGGAUAGGAGCUCCUGCUGCAUGGUGGGGGUUGGAAAGUUUCGGCGGUUGGGGAUGGACUCGCGGCUUAUCAGCUUGUUGGUGGGGUAGUGGCUUACCAAGGCUUUGACGGGUAGCCGGCCUGAGAGGGUGACCGGCCACAUUGGGACUGAGAUACGGCCCAGACUCCUACGGGAGGCAGCAGUGGGGAAUAUUGCACAAUGGGUGGAAGCCUGAUGCAGCAACGCCGUGUGCGGGAUGACGGCCUUCGGGUUGUAAACCGCUUUCGCUCAUGACGAAGCUUUGUGUGACGGUAGUGGGUAAAGAAGCACCGGCUAACUACGU
This 466-nucleotide ribosomal RNA is filed under the name uncultured bacterium. RNAcentral describes it as "partial 16S ribosomal RNA". It matches the Rfam family "Bacterial small subunit ribosomal RNA", at positions 28 to 506 of the family's 1533-position model. The record is from RNAcentral.